This 253-nucleotide long non-coding RNA is filed under the name Lathyrus oleraceus (garden pea). RNAcentral's name for it is "Pisum sativum (pea) long non-coding RNA (PSAT_LNC003925)". The record is from RNAcentral. Lineage: Eukaryota; Viridiplantae; Streptophyta; Magnoliopsida; Fabales; Fabaceae.
AAUGCAAGGGUAAAUGUAGGUUUUGGGGUCUAUGCUCUAAAGUAGGUGGAAGUAUGACUUUCCAAAUAAAGAAAGGCUCCUAGAACAAGUAAAGCACAUGCAAUUAAAGCUAAUGAUGGACAACCAACUGAACUAACUGAUGGAGAAACAAAUGAUGAAAUUGAUGGAAAACCAACUAAAGCUAAUGAAACAACGGUGUAGCACAAACUAAAACAACUAGUGUGGCACAAACUGAUACAACUGAUGUAGCACA